Molecule: ribosomal RNA, 460 nt
Filed under: uncultured bacterium
Lineage: Bacteria
Description: partial 16S ribosomal RNA
Rfam family: Bacterial small subunit ribosomal RNA
Source: RNAcentral
CCUACGGGUGGCAGCAGUGAGGAAUAUUGGUCAAUGGACGAGAGUCUGAACCAGCCAAGUAGCGUGAAGGAUGACUGUCCUAUGGGUUGUAAACUUCUUUUAUAAAGGAAUAAAACGAGGCACGUGUGCCUGUUUGCAGGUACUUUAUGAAUAAGGAUCGGCUAACUCCGUGCCAGCAGCCGCGGUAAUACGGAGGAUCCGAGCGUUAUCCGGAUUUAUUGGGUUUAAAGGGAGCGUAGAUGGGUUGUUAAGUCAGUUGUGAAAGUUAGGGGCUCAACCGUAAAAUUGCAGUUGAUACUGGCAGUCUUGAGUACAGGUGAGGUAGGCGGAAUUCGUGGUGUAGCGGUGAAAUGCUUAGAUAUCGCGAAGAACCCCGAUUGCGAAGGCAGCUUACUAAACUGUAACUGACAUUGAUGCUCGAAAGUGUGGGUAUCAAACAGGAUUAGAUACCCCGGUAGUC